RNAcentral lists this ribosomal RNA (313 nucleotides) under uncultured prokaryote. RNAcentral describes it as "bacterial SSU rRNA". It matches the Rfam family "Bacterial small subunit ribosomal RNA", at positions 26 to 352 of the family's 1533-position model. The record is from RNAcentral.
AGAUUGAACGCUAGCGGCAUGCCUAACACAUGCAAGUCGAACGAAAUACCUGGCUUCGGUUGGGAUAUUUAGUGGCAGACGGGUGAGUAACGCGUGGGAAUCUACCUAGUAGUGGGGAAUAACUAUGGGAAACUAUAGCUAAUACCGCAUACGCCCUUAGGGGGAAAGGCUUCGGCCGCUAUCAGAGGAGCCCGCGUCAGAUUAGGUAGUUGGUAGGGUAAAGGCCUACCAAGCCGAUGAUCUGUAGCUGGUUUGAGAGGAUGAUCAGCCACACUGGAACUGAGACACGGUCCAGACUCCUACGGGCGGCAGC